AGAGUUUGAUCAUGGCUCAGAACGAACGCUGGCGGCACGUUUUAAGCAUGCAAGUCGAGGGGCAGCAGUGUAGCAAUACAGCUGGCGACCGGCGCACGGGUGAGUAACACGUGAGUAUCUGUCUUUGGGUGGGGGAUAGCCUGUGGAAACAUAGGGUAAAACCGCAUAUGCCGAGAGGUAAAAGCUUCUAUUGAAGCGCCUGGGGGUGAGCUCGCGGCUGAUUAGCUAGUUGGUGGGGUAAAUGCUUACCAAGGCAACGAUCAGUAGCCGGCCUGAGAGGGUGAACGGCCACGAUGGAACUGAGACACGGUCCAUACUCCUACGGGAGGCAGCAGCUAAGAAUCUUCCGCAAUGGGGGAGACCCUGACGGAGCGAUGCCGCGUGGAUGAUGAAGGCGGAAACGUUGUAAAAUCCUUUUAUAUGGGAAGAAUAAGUAUACUGAGAGAAACGGUAUAUGAUGACGGUACCAUAUGAAUAAGCUUCGGCUAACUACGUGCCAGCAGCCGCGGUAAUACGUAGGAAGCAAGCGUUGUUCGGAAUUAUUGGGCGUAAAGGGCAUGUAGGUGGCUUAUUAAGUGUGGAUUGAAAGACCGGAG
This 596-nucleotide ribosomal RNA is filed under the name uncultured bacterium. RNAcentral's name for it is "bacterial SSU rRNA". It matches the Rfam family "Bacterial small subunit ribosomal RNA", at positions 8 to 607 of the family's 1533-position model. The record is from RNAcentral.